RNAcentral lists this ribosomal RNA (393 nucleotides) under uncultured archaeon. RNAcentral's name for it is "bacterial SSU rRNA". It matches the Rfam family "Archaeal small subunit ribosomal RNA", at positions 85 to 480 of the family's 1478-position model. The record is from RNAcentral.
ACUGCUCAGUAACACGUGGAUAACCUGCCCUUAGGUCUGGCAUAACCCCGGGAAACUGGGGAUAAUUCCGGAUAGAUUAUAGACGCUGGAAUGCCCUGUAAUCCAAAGCUUUUGUGCCUAAGGAUGGGUCUGCGGUCUAUCAGGUUGUAGUGGGUGUAAUGUACCUACUAGCCUACGACGGAUACGGGUUGUGGGAGCAAGAGCCCGGAGAUGGAUUCUGAGACAUGAAUCCAGGCCCUACGGGGCGCAGCAGGCGCGAAAACUUUACAAUGCGGGAAACCGCGAUAAGGGGACACCGAGUGCCAGCAUCCUAUGUUGGCUGUCCAUAUGUAUAAAUCACAUGUGUUAGCAAGGGCCGGGCAAGACCGGUGCCAGCAGCCGCGGUAAUACGAU